AACAGAUUCAAGCCUGCACAGCAGUGACUGGAGAUACAGCAACCUUGUAUGAAAAGUGCCGAUAAGACAGUGCAGCCAACAGAAGGUUGCAUCUCUGCGCCCACGGUCCUGCUCGACAGUGGCUGAGACGUGCAACACAGUUGCGCCCAACUUCCCUCUAUGCUACAAGCACCCCAGGAGCUACUAUCGCCCAAAGAUGUCACAGGUGGUCAUGAUUCUUUGAGGCAGCGGAAUUUCACCGAAGUGCAUCUUUAACACCUUCAGUUUCUUUUCUACUGCAAGCCUGGUACUACAGCUUGUGGCCCGUGUAGAAGAAUAGAGAGG
This is a long non-coding RNA of Ixodes scapularis (black-legged tick), 324 nucleotides long. RefSeq lists it as uncharacterized. NCBI's taxonomy places the organism in Eukaryota, Metazoa, Arthropoda, Arachnida, Ixodida, Ixodidae. The record is from RefSeq and is a predicted model, not a curated record. The transcript is spliced from 4 exons.